This is a non-coding RNA of Pantherophis guttatus, 1590 nucleotides long. NCBI's taxonomy places the organism in Eukaryota, Metazoa, Chordata, Lepidosauria, Squamata, Colubridae. The record is from RefSeq and is a predicted model, not a curated record.
CAGGAUCAGGAAGCAUCUUUCUAGAUAGCCACUCUGAGAGAGAGAGAAAGAAACUUCAGCUUGGAAUCACCAUAUUGGGAAGGGGCGGAGUUCCUUCUUUUAAAAUGCAGGCCUGCAUAUCCCCCCCCCCCACUUGACGCUUCUGAAAGAGGGACUUUUCCCUCUGCCGGUCCCUCUUCCUGUCCUGCUCUCCGCUCAAAUUGGCUGCCUGGGGUUCAUCAAGCAGGUGAGAUUCAACCCACCCACCUACCCACCGCCGCUUUGGGUUGCUGUAUGCAAAUGAGGAAAAGAGGCGGGGCCCUUUGGGGCGGCCAAGAGAGAGAGAGAGAGAAACAAGUCGAGGGGACAAAAUUUCUCUCUCCCGGCCUUAUCAGGGGCGCCUGGGCUUUGCCUCGUGAUUUAUACUUCGGGCUCUUUCCACCCCAUUGGGCAAUCUUCUUCCAGCUGCUUUUCUGAGGAAAUAAAUGACUUUUCUGCUUCCUUUGAAACGAGGCCCUUCUGGACUCCUCUCCGGUUUGGCUCCGGCAUUUUGCUCAGCUAAGAGUGUGAAUCUGUGCAAGAGCUCCUGGUCUGCAGCCAGUGGAAGUAUCCUUCAGGGGUUCAACCUCCCCCAGAGUCCUCCAGCUUGAGCAGUGAAGAGUGAGGUGGAUCAGAGGAAGGCUCUGCUGUAACCGUUUGUUACCAGAGAUCGACAACCGCUGAUGACAAAAGACCAGGGCACACUGGCUUCUCCCAGCCUCUUUUUCCCCCUGGUUGUUAGCCAGCCCUUAACAAUAGCAGAGAAGAUGGUCCUUUGCAGGAGAAGGUGAUUCAGAUGAGUGAAAUUCAAACCACCAUCAGUGGAAACAAACUGAGUUUGUUCUGCAUUCUCCAUCUCAUAGGAAAGUGUGAUUCAUCCCUGAUACUCAGGCCUUCAUGUAUUUUACAAAUCCGUAUCUAGAAGAUACCAUAAGAACAUGGAAAAGGUAGGAGCUACAAUUGACUGAUUCUUCUGUCUUGCUACCUUUUAAUAUAUCUAACAAAUAUGGUCAAAAAAAUUGGAAGAUUGAAGAUCUUACAGGAUUUAACCUGAUUGAACCCUGACAUUUUUGUACAUAUUUUUACUGCAUAAUCAAAUUCCAACCCUCUUUUAAAUGAGACAUUGCGGUUACUUCCUUUUGAGCUCACUAUGAAAGUUAACAAUAUUUGAACACUGGAAAUAUUCUCAUCCCUGAAAAGCAAGGGAAUCCUCUGAUUGUUAUGUCAGGGUUAGUGUCUGACUGUGCAGGAAGUCAGUUUCAGAUCUGGAUUUGACGGAACAGCUUGCAGCUAAUUAUUAAACUCACAGUUGACCUUAUUAAUAGCAUUGGCCAGCUUUAGUUCAUGUUGCCAUUGUUGGCAGCAUCUUAACCUCCUCACUUUCAUUUGUCUUUAUUUUUUCCUCUAUUGUCAUUGUCAUUGCACCUUCUUUCUGAUGCCUCCCUUGGGCUUGUCCCCUUUUUGUAUUAUAAGAUCCUUGAGCAAAGAUCUCCCUGCUAUGCUUUAUGGUUCCAAGGUCUGCAGCAAAGUAGCGGCAACAGCAAUAACAAUAAUAAAGCAGGCUUACAACAA